This is a long non-coding RNA of Bufo bufo (common toad), 659 nucleotides long. RefSeq lists it as uncharacterized. The transcript is spliced from 3 exons. Lineage: Eukaryota; Metazoa; Chordata; Amphibia; Anura; Bufonidae. The record is from RefSeq and is a predicted model, not a curated record.
UUGUCUUAAGACUAAAGGUUGCACAAGCCUGAUACCCAACAGUACCCUGACUGGCAGACGUUGCGCUGGGUACCUUUUGGUGCUUAGUUUGCACUUGUCUGAGCCGCAUUCUAUUGAUGACUAGGAUGCAGAGUGUAUGCUAGCCAUUCCUAUACCACAAGGGAUUCAAGUAGGAAAAUGUAAUUGUUGAAAUGCAUGAGGAGCAUUCAACAGCCUACAAGGGGUCAUUGAGAUUAGGAAUAUAUAUUAAAGGGGAAUUCUACCACACAUGCAUGGUGUAUCUACAGGAUGCCUCGUGCCCAUUAGGUGCCACACCCAUUGAGAACAGGGGUCCCCCGACAACCCCACUGGGCCUGCUGUGAGGAAAGGCAGCUGCUUGAUCCAGUAACUUCUCCUGCAAUUCAGAAAAACCCAAACGUGCUAAACUUAAUGCAGAGUAAACCCGGCUCAGUUGACGCAUGUGCCACAUUUAUCCCAGGGGCUCCUGCUAGAUAAGUCUGGAGCAUGGCUGGACAGGUGUCUAAUGUCAGAGGCUAGAUGGCCAAAUAUCAGUGCAUGUUAUGACAGGCUAGGCGCAGCCAUUAUGUGGAGCACCAUUAUGGCCACCUUAUGCUUGUGUUACUCCACCCCAAUACACUCAGCCAAGCAUGACACAGCAG